CCAAAGGCUCUUUUAAGAGCCACCCACAUUGCAAAAAUAGUGUUUU
Molecule: non-coding RNA, 46 nt
Organism: Salmo salar (Atlantic salmon)
Lineage: Eukaryota; Metazoa; Chordata; Actinopteri; Salmoniformes; Salmonidae
Source: Rfam